UCUCUGAUAGCUCAGUUGGUAAAGAAUCUGCCUGCAAUGCAGGAGACCCUGGUUCGAUUCCUGGGUUGGGAA
RNAcentral lists this transfer RNA (72 nucleotides) under Muntiacus reevesi (Reeves' muntjac). It matches the Rfam family "tRNA". From Rfam's summary of the family: Transfer RNA (tRNA) molecules are approximately 80 nucleotides in length. Their secondary structure includes four short double-helical elements and three loops (D, anti-codon, and T loops). RNAcentral also lists the same sequence under 5 other names. Lineage: Eukaryota; Metazoa; Chordata; Mammalia; Artiodactyla; Cervidae. The record is from Rfam by way of RNAcentral.